GUCCAGUCAGCAGUAGGUACUAGUAGCUAAGUUUUAGGGAAGUCAAAAUUAUAUGUAGAGUUUCAAAGGCACGAUGGGUGGGUGGAGAAGAAUGGGCAUCCCUAACCCCCAGGGUAUUCAAGAGACAACAGCACAACAAAUGAGUUUAAAGUGCUCAAUUGGCUUUAUUUGCAAUUCUAGAACCAGGCAACACUUUAUUCCAAAACACAGAAUGAGUAAUCCAGUGAGCCCCGCAGAAUUUGCUUUAUUGACAGAGAAGGCUGAAGAAAGCAGAAACAAAGAACAAAGGGAGGAUUCGUUACUUUUAGACAGAACAAUAGAAAAAUAACUGAUUAGUUAAUAUCAGGUUACUCCAGGCUUCCUUUUUUGUGUGAGGAUUAAAGCAGAGGGAACUUCAUUAUCAUGCGGAUUGAGGACUGAAACAGACCUGUUUGGGAAAGUGGCUGUUAUCUCUCUCCGGAUUUCUGAGAAGGCUCUGAACCCCCACAGCUCUUGCUGUCAGAAUGACUUACCGCAAACUGCACACGACUCCCCAGCUCUGCAAGAACUCGUUCUGGCUUCUGCUCCUGGCUCAGCCUCCUGAAGCCCAGGAAUCAAGGCUUCUCCUCCCUUGCUCCUCACCCAAGGUCUAUGGGCUUAGCUCUUCUUCUUGUUCUUUAGAUUUAAGGGGUACAUGUGCAGAUUUGUUACAGGGAUAUAUUGUGUGACGCUGAGGAUUGGGGUACAAGUGAUUCUGUCACCAAGGUAGUGAGCAUAGCACUGAAUAGGUAUUUUUUCAGCCUUUACUCCCUCCCUCCCCUCUAGUAAUCCUCAGUUGUCUGCUUUCCAUCUUUGUGUCCAUGAGUACCCAAUGUUCGGCUCCCACUUAUGAGUGAGAACAUAUGACAUUUGCUUUUCUGUUUCUGUGUUAAUUUACCUAGAAUAAUGGCCUCCACCUGCAUCCAUGUUGCUGCAAAGGACAGGAUUUCAUUCUUUUUUGUGACUGUGUAGUAUUUCAUGGUGUAAAUGUGCCACAUUUUCUUCAUCCAAUCCACUGUGGAUGAGCACCUGGGAUGGUUCCAUGUCACUGCUAUUGUGAAUAGCACUGCAGUGAACAUACAUGAGCAGGUUCCUCUUUUGAAUUCAGUUCCUUAUUUUUGAUGUUUGCCCUCAAUUGCCCACACUCUGACCACUUAGCUCAUACCAACAAGCCCCAGACAAGGUGUCUUGUUUCUGAGGAAUUAGAGGGCAGGAAUAGGGAAAGGAAGAAAGAGGAAGUAAAAGGUGUAAGAAAUUCUCCUUGCUCAUGAUAGAAAGCUGUAGACCCAGCUUGGGCAUGCGUUUCAUUCACAGGGAUUUCUUUUUAGGGGGUUAUAUAUCCAGCUUUAUUUUUUAUUAUAAUCUUUUUUAUUUGUAUGAAUGGAUAGGGUGCGAGUACAAUCAUGUUACAUGCAUAGAUUGUGCAGUGGUGAAGUCAGGGCUUUAGAGCAUCCAUCCUCUAAAUAACAUGCAUAGUACCCAAUGAGUAAUUUCUCAUUAUCCACCUCCCGUCCACCCCACCCCCUUCUGAGUCUCCAUCGUCUACCAUUCCACGCUCUACAUCCACGUGUACACAUUAUUUAGCUCCCACAUAUCAGUGAGAACACGCAAUAUCUGUUUUUCUGUUUCUGGCCUGUUUCACUUAAGGUGACGACCUCCAGUUCCAUCCAUAUUGCUGCAAAAGACAUGAUUUUUUUAUGGCUUAAUAGUAUUCCAUUGUGUAUAUGUACCAUAUUUUUUCCACCCAUUUGUUGAUGAACACUUAGGUUAAGCAGUACUACAAUAAACAUACAAAUGCAGGUA
RNAcentral lists this long non-coding RNA (1821 nucleotides) under Homo sapiens (human). Its description in RNAcentral is "HSALNT0258438". The record is from RNAcentral. Lineage: Eukaryota; Metazoa; Chordata; Mammalia; Primates; Hominidae.